AGCGAACGCUGGCGGCAAGCCUAACACAUGCAAGUCGAACGGAUCCUUCGGGAUUAGUGGCGGACGGGUGAGUAACACGUGGGAACGUGCCCUUUGGUUCGGAACAACUCAGGGAAACUUGAGCUAAUACCGGAUGUGCCCUUCGGGGGAAAGAUUUAUCGCCAUUGGAGCGGCCCGCGUCUGAUUAGCUAGUUGGUGAGGUAACGGCCCACCAAGGCGACGAUCAGUAGCUGGUCUGAGAGGAUGAUCAGCCACACUGGGACUGAGACACGGCCCAGACUCCUACGGGAGGCAGCAGUGGGGAAUCUUGCGCAAUGGGCGAAAGCCUGACGCAGCCAUGCCGCGUGAAUGAUGAAGGUCUUAGGAUUGUAAAAUUCUUUCAGCGGGGACGAUAAUGACGGUACCCGCAGAAGAAGCUCCGGCUAACUUCGUG
Molecule: ribosomal RNA, 433 nt
Filed under: uncultured bacterium
Lineage: Bacteria
Description: partial 16S ribosomal RNA
Rfam family: Bacterial small subunit ribosomal RNA
Source: RNAcentral